UGGCGGGACGGGGUGGAGUAAUGUCUGGGAAACUGCCUGAUGGAGGGGGAUAACUACUGGAAACGGUAGCUAAUACCGCAUAACGUCGCAAGACCAAAGAGGGGGACCUUCGGGCCUCUUGCCAUCGGAUGUGCCCAGAUGGGAUUAGCUAGUAGGUGGGGUAACGGCUCACCUAGGCGACGAUCCCUAGCUGGUCUGAGAGGAUGACCAGCCACACUGGAACUGAGACACGGUCCAG
This 238-nucleotide ribosomal RNA is filed under the name uncultured bacterium. RNAcentral describes it as "partial 16S ribosomal RNA". It matches the Rfam family "Bacterial small subunit ribosomal RNA", at positions 104 to 334 of the family's 1533-position model. The record is from RNAcentral.